CCUACGGGUGGCAGCAGUAGGGAAUCUUCCACAAUGGGCGAAAGCCUGAUGGAGCAACGCCGCGUGGGUGAAGAAGGUCUUCGGAUCGUAAAACCCUGUUGUUAGAGAAGAAAGUGCGUGAGAGUAACUGUUCACGUUUCGACGGUAUCUAACCAGACAGCCGCGGCUAACUACGGGCCAGCAGCCGCGGUAAUACGUAGGUGGCAAGCGUUGUCCGGAUUGAUUGGGCGUAAAGGGAACGCAGGCGGUCUUGUAAGUCUGAUGUGAAAGCCUUCGGCUUAACCGGAGGAGUGCAUUGGAAACUGGGAGACUGGAGUGUAGAAGAGGAGAGUGGAAUUCCAGGUGUAGCGGUGAAAUGCGUAGAUAUAUGGAAGAACACCAGUGGCGAAAGCGGCUCUCUGGGCUGUAACUGACGUUGAGGUUCGAAAGCGUGGGUAGCAAACAGGAUUAGAUACCCCUGUAGUC
This 465-nucleotide ribosomal RNA is filed under the name uncultured bacterium. RNAcentral's name for it is "partial 16S ribosomal RNA". It matches the Rfam family "Bacterial small subunit ribosomal RNA", at positions 338 to 795 of the family's 1533-position model. The record is from RNAcentral.